ACAUGCAGUCGAACGAUGACCUCCAGCUUGCUGGGGUGAUUAGUGGCGAACGGGUGAGUAACACGUGAGUAACCUGCCCUUAACUCUGGGAUAAGCCUGGGAAACUGGGUCUAAUACCGGAUAUGACUCCUCAUCGCAUGGUGGGGGGUGGAAAGCUUUUUGUGGUUUUGGAUGGACUCGCGGCCUAUCAGCUUGUUGGUGAGGUAAUGGCUCACCAAGGCGACGACGGGUAGCCGGCCUGAGAGGGUGACCGGCCACACUGGGACUGAGACACGGCCCAGACUCCUACGGGAGGCAGCAGUGGGGAAUAUUGCACAAUGGGCGAAAGCCUGAUGCAGCGACGCCGCGUGAGGGAUGACGGCCUUCGGGUUGUAAACCUCUUUCAGUAGGGAAGAAGCGAAAGUGACGGUACCUGCAGAAGAAGCGCCGGCUAACUACGUGCCAGCAGCCGCGGUAAUACGUAGGGCGCAAGCGUUAUCCGGAAUUAUUGGGCGUAAAGAGCUCGUAGGCGGUUUGUCGCGUCUGCCGUGAAAGUCCGGGGCUCAACUCCGGAUCUGCGGUGGGUACGGGCAGACUAGAGUGAUGUAGGGGAGACUGGAAUUCCUGGUGUAGCGGUGAAAUGCGCAGAUAUCAGGAGGAACACCGAUGGCGAAGGCAGGUCUCUGGGCAUUAACUGACGCUGAGGAGCGAAAGCAUGGGGAGCGAACAGGAUUAGAUACCCUGGUAGUCCAUGCCGUAAACGUUGGGCACUAGGUGUGGGGGACAUUCCACGUUUUCCGCGCCGUAGCUAACGCAUUAAGUGCCCCGCCUGGGGAGUACGGCCGCAAGGCUAAAACUCAAAGGAAUUGACGGGGGCCCGCACAAGCGGCGGAGCAUGCGGAUUAAUUCGAUGCAACGCGAAGAACCUUACCAAGGCUUGACAUGGGCCGGACCGGGCUGGAAACAGUCCUUCCCCUUUGGGGCCGGUUCACAGGUGGUGCAUGGUUGUCGUCAGCUCGUGUCGUGAGAUGUUGGGUUAAGUCCCGCAACGAGCGCAACCCUCGUUCCAUGUUGCCAGCGCGUAAUGGCGGGGACUCAUGGGAGACUGCCGGGGUCAACUCGGAGGAAGGUGGGGACGACGUCAAAUCAUCAUGCCCCUUAUGUCUUGGGCUUCACGCAUGCUACAAUGGCCGGUACAAAGGGUUGCGAUACUGUGAGGUGGAGCUAAUCCCAAAAAGCCGGUCUCAGUUCGGAUUGGGGUCUGCAACUCGACCCCAUGAAGUCGGAGUCGCUAGUAAUCGCAGAUCAGCAACG
Molecule: ribosomal RNA, 1293 nt
Filed under: Arthrobacter sp.
Lineage: Bacteria; Bacillati; Actinomycetota; Actinomycetes; Micrococcales; Micrococcaceae
Description: bacterial SSU rRNA
Rfam family: Bacterial small subunit ribosomal RNA
Source: RNAcentral